RNAcentral lists this long non-coding RNA (1509 nucleotides) under Homo sapiens (human). RNAcentral describes it as "HSALNT0403954". Lineage: Eukaryota; Metazoa; Chordata; Mammalia; Primates; Hominidae. The record is from RNAcentral.
AGUCUCUUUUGGAGAGCUGUGAACGUGACCAGACCUAUUAAUUACUUAACUGAGGUGCUGAACUUUGAAAAUGAAAGUUCCGGUGGGGAGUUCUGUCCUUUCCAGCCUGGGGAGCUCUGUCAGGGCUCUCCUGAGCGUCUCUUUCAGCUUAUCAAGCUCGCUCGGGGACCGUCUCUGAGAGAGAGUCUCACUCUGUCACCCAGGCUGGAGUGCAGUGGCAUGAUCUCGGCUCACUGCAACCUCCGCCUCCUGGGUUCAAGUGAUUCUCCUGCCACAGCCCCUUGAGUAGUUGACGUUACAGGCACCCACCACCGCACCCAGAUACUUUUCGUAUUUUUAGUGGAGACGCUGUUUCACCAUGUUGGCCAGUUGGUCUCGAACUCCUGACCUCAAGUGAUCUGCCUGCCUUGGCCUCCCUAUGUGCUGGGUUAUAGGCGUAAGCCACUGUGCCCUGCUUCAUGUCAUUUUUAAAGAGCCCACACAACUCCUGUAGCUGCAUUACGACAACCUCAACGGCAAGACCUCGACGUGAUAUUACUCCACGUGAAAGUCUAAAAGGCGCUGAGCACAGUGCUCUGCCAAUGGUGUGUCUUCCAGCCUCGCUUGCUGAGAGAACAGAUGUGCCGGGGAAGAAAUGGACAAAGCUGGGAAAGGAGUCUAACUUCUUCAAAGCGGUUGGGCACCGGUGAGGCUCUUUUGGUUACAAACCACAGAAAUGGAUUCUGGUUUAUCAGUUUAAUCUCGGUGUAACUAAAAGUGGGAAGUACUGGAAGGAGACGCAUUUCAUGGGCUCAGAGGUGACCUUGGGGCACUGAGUUGGCCCUUCUGUGGCCAGGUGUCCCUCUCUCGGGGACCUGCCUUCCCAUGCCCCAGUCUCAACUCUUGGUGUCUGUCUAAUCUCAAACUCCCAAGAGACUGGAUUGGAUUAGAUCAGUGUGGUGUAGCAAGAGGCACUGUGUGUGUGUGUGUGUGUGUGUGUGUGUGUGUGUGUGUGUGGUGUCAUUAGGGAGAUCUCAGAGAACAACCACCUUGGCCAACUUGUCUAUCUCACGCCAGACGUUUUCACCCAUCGUUCUGUCCAACCCUACAUAAUCCUGCCAGGGGGCUAUCAGUUUUUUGUUUAUGUUGAACGCUAAACUCAGCAGGAAAGAACACUGCUUUCUGGGAUUUUCUUCAUUUAAACCUCUAUUGCCUAUGAGAACAGUGUAUUUUCUUUAAGGGCUACCAGGUUUUCUAUUAAUAGAAAAUUAAAAAAAUAGUGAGAAGUACCAAGAACAAAAUUAACAUCACCCAUCAUCCACCAUUCAGACAGAAAAAUGGUCCCCUUUGACUGAUGUUCAUCAGCUAUAUAAAUCUCUACACACACACAUAUACACCCAUACCUACUUUGAAGUAAAAAUUAUGAAGAGCACAUUGUUUUGUGACCUUUCUCUUCACGUGCCGUGUUCUCCAUUCUGUUAAAUAUUCACUUCCAUCUUUUUAAAUGGGUGCUUAAUAAACUUUGACUCA